GCCGGGCGUGGUAGCACAUGCCUGUAAUCCCAGCUACUCAGGAGGCUGAGGCAGGAGAAUUGCUUGAGCCCAGGAGGCGGAGGUUGCAGUGAGCCGAGAUCAUGCCACUGCACUCUAGCCUGGCCAACAGAGCGAGACUCUGUCUCAA
Nomascus leucogenys (northern white-cheeked gibbon) is the source of this 148-nucleotide non-coding RNA. It matches the Rfam family "Metazoan signal recognition particle RNA". From Rfam's summary of the family: The signal recognition particle (SRP) is a universally conserved ribonucleoprotein. The record is from Rfam. NCBI's taxonomy places the organism in Eukaryota, Metazoa, Chordata, Mammalia, Primates, Hylobatidae.